UACAGAGACCUCAAGCGUUAUCCGGAUUUAUUGGGCGUAAAGGGUCCGCAGGCGGCUUUGCGCGUCGACGGUUAAAUCUAAAGGCUCAACCUUUGGACUGCCGUUGAUACGGCAAAGCUAGAGCAUGGGAGAGGUAAGCGGAAUUACAGGUGUAGCGGUAAAAUGCGUUAAUAUCUGUAGGAACACCAAAUGCGAAGGCAGCUUACUGGAACAUUGCUGACGCUCAGGGACGAAAGCGUGGGGAGCGAAAGGG
RNAcentral lists this unclassified non-coding RNA (253 nucleotides) under Patescibacteria group bacterium. RNAcentral describes it as "contains 16S-23S intergenic spacer region". It matches the Rfam family "Bacterial small subunit ribosomal RNA", at positions 524 to 776 of the family's 1533-position model. The record is from RNAcentral.